ACCACACCACCACCAACCAUGUUUAAUUCACCGCCACCUCGAACAAUUGCACCAUCACCUAAAAUGCCACCAACAACAUCGCCACCUACUCCUAUCACAUCUCCGUCGAAGCUACCUCCCACACAACCACCUCGUCCAACGACAUCACCACCUAAGAUAACUCCUAUAACACCACCGACUCCUACCACAUCACAACCACCUAAGACGACUCUUGCCAAACCACCAACUCUUACCACACCACCACCAUCUCUGACUCCUUCUGGACAACCACCUCGUCCAGUAACACAACAACCUAGGAAUCCUCCAACUUCAACACCACCAACUCCUUCAACACUUCCAACUUUGCGUCCUUCUACACCUCCACCUCAUUCAUUGACAUCUCCACCUAAGACGGCUCCUACCAAAGCGCCGCCUACUCCUAGCACACUACCUCCUCGUCCAAUGACACCGCCACCUAAGAAGCCUCCUACAAUUUCACCAUCUACACCUACCACACCACCACCAACCAUGUUUAAUUCACCGCCACCUCGAACAAUUGCACCAUCACCUAAAAUGCCACCAACAACAUCGCCACCUACUCCUAUCACACCACCGUCGAAGCUACCUCACACACCUCCACCUCGUGCAAUGACACCGUCACCUAAGAUAACUCCUAUAACACCACCAACUCCUAUCACAUCACAACCACCUAAGACGACUCCUGCCAAAUCACCAACUCUGACUCCUUCUG
This 730-nucleotide long non-coding RNA is filed under the name Medicago truncatula (barrel medic). RNAcentral's name for it is "long non-coding RNA (MTRU_LNC008140)". Lineage: Eukaryota; Viridiplantae; Streptophyta; Magnoliopsida; Fabales; Fabaceae. The record is from RNAcentral.